Pelobates cultripes (western spadefoot toad) is the source of this 318-nucleotide non-coding RNA. The record is from the annotation of a GenBank genome assembly. Lineage: Eukaryota; Metazoa; Chordata; Amphibia; Anura; Pelobatidae.
UAUGAUUCAUCCUCCUUUAAUACUUGCAGCUAUAUUUUAAAAAUAGAUUUUAUGAUAGUGGAGGCAAAACUAGACACACUUGGUAAGUAGACUUCCAGGGAAUGACCUCUAGAUAUUAUUAUCAUGAAUUAUAAAGCACCAACACAUUCUGUAGCUCACAUAAGUAAAUUCAAGACAAGACAUUAUUGACUAACUUGAAAAAGAACCAGACCAACUCAGCAAAUUGAAGUGGUGUGGGUGCACUUCAAUGAGCAAAAGUUUUAGAUAAACUGCAACGUAGUGGCUAUCUACCAGAUAGACACCAGAGGCGCUUCCGGG